This 1467-nucleotide long non-coding RNA is filed under the name Mus musculus (house mouse). Its description in RNAcentral is "predicted gene, 32369". Lineage: Eukaryota; Metazoa; Chordata; Mammalia; Rodentia; Muridae. The record is from RNAcentral.
UAGCCGGCAAGCUUCCCCAAAGCCUUUGCUGUGGCUUGGAAGGGCUUUGUCUCUUCAGAUGAUCCUUGCUGGGGCUUGGUCCUCCAGUGAUGUGGAAGAAAAGCCAUGUGCUUCGGCUGAGCUAAGGGAGGGCGAGGCGCCUCUGUGAGGGAAGGAAUCCUGUGAUCUGGUCACUUAUCCCACACCAUCUACUGACGGCACAGCAUGGGAACUGGGUGGGAACAGCCUGGAUUAGAAAUGGCCCUGCGAUUCCAAGUGACACCUCACCGGCAAGCCUUCGCAUCUGCUCAGCUCUGCUCCGUGUGGACUGUGGCCACAGCACAUGCGCACGAAACAGCAGCUGUGGAAGGGAAUUCUGGCAUCUGUGUCUGGGGCUUUGGGCAGGUGGCCGAGAAGCUGCCUGUGCUGAAAACGGCUUUAUGUCAGAUACGGAAAGCAAGGCGCAUCUGUCCCAGCUGAGCUCAGCCCCACAGUGGGCCUUCCCGCUGAAAGAAGCUACACAAUAAGCCUGGGUGGAUCCUUCACUUGACUUACUCCAUAGAACACGGCAGAGGUGAUAUUCAAUUUCCAAGGCCAGCCCGCAAGACAUUCUGUAGCUCCUGCUCUUAUCCAGCUGUUGAUAAAGUCUUCCACAAAAGGUCAGCUCAGGUGUCCCAGCUGCCCUGAUCCCUGGAGUGACUCCCAUUUAAACCUGUAGCUCACGAAGUGCAUGUGUAUGCAGAGGACAAGCCAGCAGAAGAAAUCGUGGGUUUGUUAGCCCAGUGAGCCAUGAGAAAGAAUUCAUUGAAGUAGUUUUAGGUCAUGGCUGUUUAUGAUGUUUGCCCUGUAGCAAUGUUUAACUGGCGCCUUCUGCUUACAAGGCCUGGAUGUAGCUGAUGGCAGUUUUCUGGUGAAAAGGCUUGGGAUCCUACAGCAGCUGAGGUACUUUCACCACACUGCUCUCCACAGGAGCCUCUCUCCACAUCAUCUCUCACAGCGAGACAGCUGGCGUCCCUUAGAAUGAGUGGCCUCAGAGAGGGAGGCUGUGGCAAAGAUGGAGGCUGUCACAUUGUUUAUAACCUGACAUCAGGCUGGGACAAUCAGAAGCUAUGUGAAGAGAAUACUGUUAACUAGGACCCAGGAGCUUAAACAUUUUCAGGUCCACAUCAUUUCCCAGGAAAUCCGCUGUGUUUGAGAGGAGUAAAUGUAAUGGGAGCUUUAGUUUCCAUUAGACAGGAAGUACUUGACUCUCAGUUUUCUCACCCGCCAAGUUAAGUGUCAUGUCUGUGUCUGUGCCUGUGUUCCAGGGUUGUGGCGAUUAUAUGAGAGGAGGCAUCUGAGGACGCUGUCCACAGAGAAGUUGUUUGAAAUCAAGGUUUGACUCUGACCUACAUUUGUACUCCACUGUCACCAUGGUGACUAGCCUAAGUCUUUAUAAUUCGUAGCCUUCAGUCUUUCUGUUCUGUUGGUUGCGGUCAGGAUGGAAUG